Molecule: transfer RNA, 67 nt
Filed under: Alaria americana
Lineage: Eukaryota; Metazoa; Platyhelminthes; Trematoda; Diplostomida; Diplostomidae
Description: tRNA-Arg
Source: RNAcentral
UUUGACAUUCUCUGUGAGGGAGUCUGCGUUUCGGCCGCAGAAUAGGAGUUGGAAACUUCUGUCAAAU